UCUUGAGUAGAUUCUACUGAGUGUGGC
RNAcentral lists this unclassified non-coding RNA (27 nucleotides) under Mus musculus (house mouse). RNAcentral describes it as "oocyte_clustered_small_RNA9995". Lineage: Eukaryota; Metazoa; Chordata; Mammalia; Rodentia; Muridae. The record is from RNAcentral.